GAUGAAGAACGUAGCAAAAUGCGAUAAGUAAUGUGAAUUGCAGAAUUCAGUGAAUCAUCGAAUCUUUGAACGCACAUUGCGCCCGCCAGUAUUCUGGCGGGCAUGCCUGUCCGAGCGUCAUUUCAACCCUCGAACCCCUCCGGGGGGUCGGCGUUGGGGAUCGGCCCUGCCUCUUGGCGGUGGCCGUCUCCGAAAUACAGUGGCGGUCUCGCCGCAGCCUCUCCUGCGCAGUAGUUUGCACACUCGCAUCGGGAGCGCGGCGCGUCCACAGCCGUUAAACACCCAACUUCUGAAAUGUUGACCUCGGAUCAGGUAGGAAUACCCGCUGAACUUAAGCAUAUCAAUAAGCGGAGGA
RNAcentral lists this unclassified non-coding RNA (355 nucleotides) under soil metagenome. Its description in RNAcentral is "partial contains 5.8S ribosomal RNA, internal transcribed spacer 2, and large subunit ribosomal RNA". The stretch from base 1 to 120 matches the Rfam family "5.8S ribosomal RNA", at positions 35 to 154 of the family's 154-position model. The record is from RNAcentral.